Long non-coding RNA from Equus asinus (donkey), 1938 nucleotides. NCBI's taxonomy places the organism in Eukaryota, Metazoa, Chordata, Mammalia, Perissodactyla, Equidae. The record is from Ensembl.
CUUUCCUGUGGACAGAACUAGAAAAUGCAUAUGCAUAUUCAUAUGCAUUCAUGUAAUUACAUAUAUACAUAAACACUGCCAAUGCAAAUUCAGAUCUACAGGGUUUUUAUUGAAUGUGUAUCUUUCAUCUGAAUCUCCUUUCUCUAAUACCAAGCACUGUUGUUUUUGAGGACGGGGGAGUAAUAGAAUUAGAAUAUCCCAAAAUGUCUCAUUUACUCUGUCGCACAUUAUAUAAACAAAAGAAUAAAGACAAUAACAACAAUACCACUAACAACCCAAUUGAGGAAAAUGGUUUUUUAAUUUGUCGCUGCCUUGGUAUAUGAAUAAAUUAUUGUGUCUUAAAGUCUCUAGGAAUAGUUCUAAUCCAUAUGGUUGUUCCACAACAGGGAUACAACAGGUUCAUUCAUUACAUUGUGUUUUCAAUGUCUAGAGGCAAAAUUUUUUAAAUUUAAUUUAGUUUUAUAAUUAUGUAAAAACAAAUGUGGUUUGCAACUCAAAUAUAACCAAAAAAGUUACAUUCAAAUAGUCUAGCCUUGACACAAAGAUCUGCAAGCAUUUCCAAAGCCUGGGCCCAGGUGAAUCAGGAACUCCUGCUCUCCACAGACGCUGGAUUCUCUGGCUAGGAUUGCUCUUUCUGCCUGAGUUUGGGAGGAAAGGAUGAAAUUUCCCUGGAGUCAAUUUCAAAGCUUAGCCUAUCAGGGGUUUUAGUGUCUCAUGGAGAAUUAGCUAGAAAUUAGGAAUAAAAUCUGAGUAAGUUAGAAUAGAAUAAAUGAAAAUCUGAAUAAAAUAGGCCAUUUAACAAAAUACAGUACUUCUAAUUCAGGUCUGGAACUUGUAUCCCAAAACGAAGACACAGUCACAAUGGCUGUCCCAGCCCCAUCGCAGGCCCUCACACGUCCCUUUUACUCACAGAGAGACAGGAGGUCCGAUGACAAGACUUGCCCUGCGAAGGCCCCUCGAGGUGCAGGAUUGAAUGGACACAGCCACUGCCUCUACUCCCGAGGCCCGAGGGUGACCCUGAUGAGGGACUGGCACUACCCCUCUGGCGCCGGGCCCAGGCCUCGGAUGGCCAGCGACCCGCAGAGCUGCACGAGGCCAUCGGGGGCGCCCCAGGCUCUGUCACCUCCCUGUGUCCCGGACUCCUGAGGAGAAGGUGGCAGAGGGCAGGGGACGCGGCUGCGAGAUGCAAAGGGUGGAGGGAGCAAGAGUCACGCGGAGACCCGGGGCAGCGCGGGCCCGUGGAGCUUCCUUCCCAGGUAUUUCCUGAGUGUUUUAUCUGGCAGGCACUUGUGGAGGCUCUGGGGAGACGGGGUGGACAAGGCAAAAAGAGCGCCUGUUCUCAUGAAGAAGACCUUCUGGCACAGGAGCCAGACGUUUCACAGGAGCCUGAGCUGACCCCACACACAGAAAACACAGAACUUGAGGGAGCAGAUGGAAGAAAGAAAAUCAGCAGGUUGGAGGGUGAAAAGAACCCAAAGAAGGGCCAUGUAUUUGUGGAGCAGGUGGUUGCUAAAGGGGGUGAGAAUAAGGACAAGCUGAGUUCAGAAAAGUUAAGGGAAACCGAGGAAUGUGUACAGCAUCAUCCAGGUCCUCAAGGAGCAGGCUGAGCUGAGCAGUGAGGACUGGGAGAGUAACUUACUCCACAGCGAACCUAUGCACCUGACAAGGAGAUCCAAGGAUGCAUCAGGGUUGGUUUCUACUGAUGAGAAGCAGCAAUUCCAAGAGGUGGAGGAUGCAAACAUGAGGCUCAACCUUGAAGCUGCCCUCAGAGUGGAUGCCCUGCCACUGUAGCCCAACUGGCCCACCCAACCUAGAACUCAGCCAGAUUUCAGCCUCUCAGGAUACAACCAACACCUGGGCUCCAUGUUGGCUCAAAGCAGUCAACACUACCAAGGUCUCCAGAGGAAACUACUGAUAUCAGUAGCUACUGUCUAUGUC